AUGAUCGUUUAUUUUUCUUUAAGAAUGCGUAUUUACAUGUCACGUACGUAGCUUCACAACCUCGACUGUUAUUUAGCCUUCAAGUCUCCUUACUGUUUGAGUGUCGCGAGGUAGCAUUGCGAAAGUCGACGGUGCUGUACGUGAGCAGAUUGUUGAAGAUUAUCAUUCUUGUUCGAGUCGAUUGUAUUUUAAGUGUCACUGCAGUGGUUCACGAAAUAACGGCCAGCCAUGCGUCGGACAGUUACCGGAUCACAUACACAUAUAAGAAAUAGACACGACGCCGCGACGGUGGUACCGCAAAAUUUUGAGUUAAAUAUACUAUUUCGAGUCGUUAAGUUUUAUAAGUUUUUUCUUUUUCAUAAAUAUGAAAAUGAAUACAAAAGUGUUCCUAUGUAACUUUAAGUACAGUGUGAAAAUAUCUUA
Long non-coding RNA from Bombyx mori (domestic silkworm), 423 nucleotides. RefSeq lists it as uncharacterized. Lineage: Eukaryota; Metazoa; Arthropoda; Insecta; Lepidoptera; Bombycidae. The record is from RefSeq and is a predicted model, not a curated record. The transcript has 2 exons.